This 475-nucleotide ribosomal RNA is filed under the name bacterium 1611-S6-10-2. Its description in RNAcentral is "bacterial SSU rRNA". It matches the Rfam family "Bacterial small subunit ribosomal RNA", at positions 59 to 514 of the family's 1533-position model. The record is from RNAcentral.
AAGUCGAGCGGAACGAGUUAUCUGAACCUUCGGGGAACGAUAACGGCGUCGAGCGGCGGACGGGUGAGUAAUGCCUAGGAAAUUGCCCUGAUGUGGGGGAUAACCAUUGGAAACGAUGGCUAAUACCGCAUAAUACCUACGGGUCAAAGAGGGGGACCUUCGGGCCUCUCGCGUCAGGAUAUGCCUAGGUGGGAUUAGCUAGUUGGUGAGGUAAUGGCUCACCAAGGCGACGAUCCCUAGCUGGUCUGAGAGGAUGAUCAGCCACACUGGAACUGAGACACGGUCCAGACUCCUACGGGAGGCAGCAGUGGGGAAUAUUGCACAAUGGGCGCAAGCCUGAUGCAGCCAUGCCGCGUGUGUGAAGAAGGCCUUCGGGUUGUAAAGCACUUUCAGUCGUGAGGAAGGUAGUGUAGUUAAUAGCUGCAUUAUUUGACGUUAGCGACAGAAGAAGCACCGGCUAACUCCGUGCCAGCAG